This is a long non-coding RNA of Bufo bufo (common toad), 215 nucleotides long. RefSeq lists it as uncharacterized. NCBI's taxonomy places the organism in Eukaryota, Metazoa, Chordata, Amphibia, Anura, Bufonidae. The record is from RefSeq and is a predicted model, not a curated record. The transcript is spliced from 3 exons.
GUCCUGAUGCCCCCAAAAGAAAAGAAAGCAACAAAGCCCGAAUCGUUAAAGAGAGACGACGAUCGACCACAAAACAGCAUCAGGAACAGUUUACACCGAUAGCUGGAGUUCUAACAACGCCGCGGCCGUUUCUGCAGAGUGUUUAAAAGACCUUGUGUUGGAUUACUCACACAACACCGACCCCGAGACGCAGAAAACAAUAGGCAUCGAGCAAG